Long non-coding RNA from Salvia splendens (bonfire salvia), 1899 nucleotides. RefSeq lists it as uncharacterized. The transcript is spliced from 3 exons. The record is from RefSeq and is a predicted model, not a curated record. NCBI's taxonomy places the organism in Eukaryota, Viridiplantae, Streptophyta, Magnoliopsida, Lamiales, Lamiaceae.
CAUUAAAAAACUGACAAGAUUUCAUGUGACCAAACAAUUAACAGUAACAACAUCAAUCUUCUCAUAUAUAUCCAAGUAGAUACCUUAAUUUUCUCUGCUCAACUCCGGGUGAUUAAUCUUAAAAGAUGCUCGAAAACCUUUUUUCACUGCGUAAAGAGAAAUUGGUGGCACUUGUUUUGGUUGCGUUGAUCAGUUUCCUAUGCUUGGCGGCACAUCAGCGAGCACUAGUCGGCAGCAGAAGAGGAGACGACGUCAUGAUGAAAACCAACCAAGUCGACCGCAACAUAGAUAACCAUCACAGCAUACCAAGGCAGUACUAUAACCAGUGGGGCAGCAGAGGAGAUAACAAUGGCGACAACAACGCCAACGAAGGUGGCUGAACCAUGCAUCCGUUACUUCCCUAAUACGCCAUCGUGUUUUUUCAGCUUUGCUGUUUCAAGUAUUUUCUCUUCCUACGACAAUAAAUCGGGUGUUUGAUUGUUAUUCCAAAAUCAUAGGAUGCUUAAAGAUCAACUACCGCUAAUACUUCGUACGAUCCUUCUAUAGUCACUCAAUGUAACAUCGGUACCUUUUAUCUGGAGAAACAUGGCGAAAAAACGCCGUCUUUGGUUUCCUGCCCUUGGGAUAAGGGUGCAUUUCCGCCAGGCCAGUUCACAAACGCGCCGCAAGAUGGACUUUGGCAGGGGCCGCCACGCCACGUUGCGCUUCUUCUCUCCCUCCCUGAAUCAACUUGUACAUAUAUAUAUAAAAACUUGCCUGAUAAAAAUAAACCUCAAGAGAGAUUAGCUGUCCAUUGUGUCGUCCCUGAAAACCGCUUGCUUUGAAAAGAUUUCGCCAUUUGUCCUGCGAUAAUUGCCACCACCAAAUCACAUGCCAACACUGGUGCGACAUUUACCCGAAAAAGAUGGUUUGAAAAGGCUUGUAGAAUUCCCAUGGGAUGGUAAAUCAUGGAAAGAGUGGCUUGAAAAGUCAUGGACCUUGUCCUUGCCAAUAUUCUCUUGUGGUGAUUUCAGAGGUUACUUCUCAGCCAAUAUUUCAGACGUAUACUCACAACUCCACUGGUUGAGAUCAACUACAUCAUUUUGGCAUUCUGGCACUUCCAUUAUUUUGAAUAGAUCUGAUUUCCACGGAGAGUCAAUACCAGCACAUGUAAGAACCGGACUGUCUGCAAGCAUUCGCUUGAAACAUAUUCCAGAUCGGUAAUUCUUUCAGCAAAUUCAACACCUGCAGUUUUCUUUUUGAUAGGUUUUGGGUUGGGUGAGGGUAGAGAAGGGGGGUUAGCAAUAUGUGCCAUUUGAGUAGAGGGAUACUCUUCUCCCAUGCUACAGAACUAAAAUAGCCACCGUCAUCCUCAAUUAAGUACCUACCUACACAUAGGUGAAAACAAUGCGGGAACGCCUGCUUUUUUUCUACAAUUUUCUUCUUAAAAAACAAAGUUCAUGGCAUCACACAUUUGUAACCGCUGGCCAAUAAUUCAGAAGAAAAAUUAAUAGUGGCCUACAUCUCUAUUGAGAAUAUCUCCCCCUUCAUGAGCAGUUGUCACACCUGCAUGAAGCACGAAUUAUGAGAAAAUUGCAGCUGGAGAAACAUUGUAGAAUUGUGAGUAAUAUUUUUCAUGUGUAGACAUAUACAAUAUGACCUGAAGGGAAAUCAAAUCAAGGAAGCCCAAAAUACAUGCUAUGUGCAACAAUCUCCCAUCCCCUUUCCGGAAGUAACAAGAAUUAUACUGCGCAGUUUAGUGCAAUUUUACAAUAUAGACUACUGCAAGCAGACAUAUGCAAGAUAGAAUUGAAGAAAUAAGCGAAAUCAGAUAAUCACAUCAGUAUCAGUUCCCCAUUCUAUUUUAGCAUCUUCUUGUGUACAGAGACAUUUUAGUAGUAACUGUUCAAGAGACUCCUA